This 173-nucleotide small RNA is filed under the name Chrysemys picta bellii (western painted turtle). RNAcentral's name for it is "TUC338 (ENSCPBG00000007191.1)". The record is from RNAcentral. Lineage: Eukaryota; Metazoa; Chordata; Testudines; Emydidae.
UUGACAGCCUUGUCUGAAAAUCUGUAUUUACCCACAGCACAGAUAAAACACUGACAGCAACAGUGCAAAGCUUCCUCAGAUUGCCCCACCAAAGUGCUUCACUCUUAAUCUGGAUGAACCACCUGGAAUUGAAUGAAUAGUGUAGCCUCAUGCCAGCUCAGUUCUUGGUCUCU